UACAGAGGGUGCGAGCGUUAAUCGGAAUUACUGGGCGUAAAGCGUGCGUAGACGGUAAUGUAAGUCGGGCGUGAAAGCCCCGGGCUCAACCUGGGAAUUGCAUUCGAGACUGCAUUGCUUGGGUGCGGAAGAGGGAAGCGGAAUUUCCGGUGUAGCGGUGAAAUGCGUAGAUAUCGGAAGGAACACCAGUGGCGAAGGCGAGUCCCUGGACAGGUCCUGACGCUGAGGCACGAAAGCUAGGGGAGCAAACAGG
Molecule: ribosomal RNA, 253 nt
Filed under: uncultured bacterium
Lineage: Bacteria
Description: partial 16S ribosomal RNA
Rfam family: Bacterial small subunit ribosomal RNA
Source: RNAcentral